GCAAAAUAAAUCUGAAAAGAAGUAUCCAUUAAAUCAUAACAAUAACAAGAAACUCAGAAACAUGAAAUGGAAAUACUACAUAGAACUAAAUAAGCAAAAAUAUAACAAAACAUCUAGGUGUUUGUUGCCCUAGUGUAAAUCUGCUGACUCGA
Hibiscus syriacus is the source of this 152-nucleotide long non-coding RNA. RefSeq lists it as uncharacterized. The record is from RefSeq and is a predicted model, not a curated record. The transcript has 2 exons. Lineage: Eukaryota; Viridiplantae; Streptophyta; Magnoliopsida; Malvales; Malvaceae.